This 327-nucleotide unclassified non-coding RNA is filed under the name fungal sp. RNAcentral describes it as "partial internal transcribed spacer region". The stretch from base 1 to 46 matches the Rfam family "Eukaryotic small subunit ribosomal RNA", at positions 1786 to 1831 of the family's 1831-position model. The record is from RNAcentral. Lineage: Eukaryota; Fungi.
AAGUCGUAACAAGGUUUCCGUAGGUGAACCUGCGGAAGGAUCAUUAACACUUUGUUAACCCAAUAUCAACCAAAUGUGAACUGUAGCGUCCCUAUUCAUUGUUGUAAUAUACUUCGGUUUAUUAUAGCAGUGCGAUAGACAAUACCCCUAGUAGUUGUCACAGACUAGGCCUCCAUACCUUCUCUGUGACGAUGAAACCCUAUAUUAACCAAUUUUAACCCUAUAACAUAAUAAUUGUCUAAUCUUCAUGAGCUUAUCUACUGCCUCGGCGGUUAAUAAGGUUUACGAAAUAUUGAACAACUCUUAGCAAUGGAUAUCUUGGGUCAU